GACGAACGCUGGCGGCGUGCUUAACACAUGCAAGUCGAACGCUGAAGCUUGGUGCUUGCACUGGGUGGAUGAGUGGCGAACGGGUGAGUAAUACGUGAGCAACCUGCCCUUGACUCUGGGAUAAGCCUGGGAAGCUGGGUCUAAUACUGGAUAUGACAUGCCACUGCAUGGUGGUGUGUGGAAAGGGUUUUACUGGUUUUGGAUGGGCUCACGGCCUAUCAGCUUGUUGGUGGGGUAAUGGCCUACCAAGGCGACGACGGGUAGCCGGCCUGAGAGGGUGACCGGCCACACUGGGACUGAGACACGGCCCAGACUCCUACGGGAGGCAGCAGUGGGGAAUAUUGCACAAUGGGCGGAAGCCUGAUGCAGCGACGCCGCGUGAGGGAUGACGGCCUUCGGGUUGUAAACCUCUUUCAGCACGGAAGAAGCGAGAGUGACGGUACGUGCAGAAGAAGCGCCGGCUAACUACGUG
Molecule: ribosomal RNA, 472 nt
Filed under: uncultured bacterium
Lineage: Bacteria
Description: partial 16S ribosomal RNA
Rfam family: Bacterial small subunit ribosomal RNA
Source: RNAcentral